GAUGAACGCUGGCGGCGUGCUUAACACAUGCAAGUCGAACGGAAAGGCCCUGCUUUUGUGGGGUGCUCGAGUGGCGAACGGGUGAGUAACACGUGAGUAACCUGCCCUUGACUUUGGGAUAACUUCAGGAAACUGGGGCUAAUACCGGAUAGGAGCUCCUGCUGCAUGGUGGGGGUUGGAAAGUUUCGGCGGUUGGGGAUGGACUCGCGGCUUAUCAGCUUGUUGGUGGGGUAGUGGCUUACCAAGGCUUUGACGGGUAGCCGGCCUGAGAGGGUGACCGGCCACAUUGGGACUGAGAUACGGCCCAGACUGCAACGGGAGGCAGAAGUGGGGAAUAUGGCACAAUGGGCGGACGCCUGAGGCAGAAGCGCCGGGUGCGGGAUGACGGCCUGCGGGUUGUAAACCGCUUUCGCCGGUGACGAAGCGUGCGUGACGGUAAUGGGUAAAGAAGCACCGGCUAACUACGUG
Molecule: ribosomal RNA, 468 nt
Filed under: uncultured bacterium
Lineage: Bacteria
Description: partial 16S ribosomal RNA
Rfam family: Bacterial small subunit ribosomal RNA
Source: RNAcentral